This 497-nucleotide ribosomal RNA is filed under the name uncultured bacterium. RNAcentral describes it as "partial 16S ribosomal RNA". It matches the Rfam family "Bacterial small subunit ribosomal RNA", at positions 28 to 507 of the family's 1533-position model. The record is from RNAcentral.
GAUGAACGCUGGCGGCGUGCCUAAUACAUGCAAGUCGAGCGAACGGACGCGACGCUUGCUUUUCUGAUGUUAGCGGCGGACGUGUGAGUAACACGUGGAUAACCUACCUGUCAGUCUGGGAUCACUUCGGGACACCGGCGCUAAUACCGGAUAAUAUUUUGAACCGUAUGGUUCAAAAGUGAAAGACGGUCUUGCUGUCACUUAUCGAUGGAUCCGCGCUGCAUUAGCUAGUUGGUAAGGUAACGGCUUACCAAGGCAACGAUGCAUAGCCGACCUGAGAGAGUGGUAGGCCACACGGGAACUGAGACACGGUCCAGACUCCUACGGGAGGCAGCAGAAUGGAAUCUUCCGCAAUGGUCGAAAGCCUGACGGAGCAACGCCACGUGAGUGAUGAAGGUCUUCGGAUCGUAAAACUCUGUUAUUAGGGAAGAACAUAUGUGUAAGUAACUGUGCACAGCUUGACGGUACCUAGUCAGAAAGCCACGGCUAACUACGUG